This 477-nucleotide ribosomal RNA is filed under the name uncultured bacterium. RNAcentral's name for it is "partial 16S ribosomal RNA". It matches the Rfam family "Bacterial small subunit ribosomal RNA", at positions 30 to 507 of the family's 1533-position model. The record is from RNAcentral.
AUUGAACGCUGGCGGCAUGCUUUACACAUGCCAGUCGAACGGUAACAGGUUAAGCUGACGAGUGGCGAACGGGUGAGUAAUGCAUCGGAACGUGCCCGAUCGUGGGGGAUAACGCAGCGAAAGCUGCGCUAAUACCGCAUACGAUCUGAGGAUGAAAGCGGGGGACCGUAAGGCCUCGCGCGAUCGGAGCGGCCGAUGUCAGAUUAGGUAGUUGGUGGGGUAAAGGCUCACCAAGCCGACGAUCUGUAGCUGGUCUGAGAGGACGACCAGCCACACUGGGACUGAGACACGGCCCAGACUCCUACGGGAGGCAGCAGUGGGGAAUUUUGGACAAUGGGCGCAAGCCUGAUCCAGCAAUGCCGCGUGCAGGAAGAAGGCCUUCGGGUUGUAAACUGCUUUUGUACGGAGCGAAAAGGCUCUCUCUAAUACAGGGGGCUCAUGACGGUACCGUAAGAAUAAGCACCGGCUAACUACGUG